GCUGGACCCGGUGUGCCCCUCCUGAGACUAGACUCUGGAUCCGCCCCUGGUGUACAUAGAGGUGCAAACUCACAAUAGCAGGACAUGAUGUAGAUGUCUGCAGAAGUGAGGGGCCAAAAGAAGACUCGGAAGUCAUCAGAAGAAGUAAUC
Molecule: long non-coding RNA, 150 nt
Organism: Hyla sarda
Lineage: Eukaryota; Metazoa; Chordata; Amphibia; Anura; Hylidae
Exons: 3
Source: RefSeq, a predicted model, not a curated record